AUUGGAGGAAAGCAGGGGAUCGCAAGACCUUGCGCUUUUGGAGCGGCCGAUGUCUGAUUAGCUAGUUGGUGGGGUAAAGGCUUACCAAGGCUUCGAUCAGUAGCUGGUCUGAGAGGACGACCAGCCACACUGGGACUGAGACACGGCCCAGACUCCUACGGGAGGCAGCAGUGGGGAAUUUUGGACAAUGGGGGAAACCCUGAUCCAGCCAUGCCGCGUGAGUGAAGAAGGCCUUCGGGUUGUAAAGCUCUUUCAGCCGGAACGAAAAGGUCACGGCUAAUACCCGUGACAAAUGACGGUACCGGAAGAAGAAGCACCGGCUAACUACGUGCCAGCAGCCGCGGUAAUACGUAGGGUGCAAGCGUUAAUCGGAAUUACUGGGCGUAAAGCGUGCGCAGGCGGUUUUGUAAGUCAGAUGUGAAAUCCCCGGGCUUAACCUGGGAACUGCGUUUGAAACUACAAAGCUAGAAU
RNAcentral lists this ribosomal RNA (471 nucleotides) under uncultured ammonia-oxidizing bacterium. RNAcentral describes it as "bacterial SSU rRNA". It matches the Rfam family "Bacterial small subunit ribosomal RNA", at positions 195 to 647 of the family's 1533-position model. The record is from RNAcentral.